The sequence is an unclassified non-coding RNA, 217 nucleotides long. The stretch from base 1 to 46 matches the Rfam family "Eukaryotic small subunit ribosomal RNA", at positions 1786 to 1831 of the family's 1831-position model.
AAGUCAUAACAAGGUCUCCGUUGGUGAACCAGCGGAGGGAUUAUUACCAAGUACUAUAACUCAUAACCCUUUGUGAACCUUUAUACCUAUUGCUUCGGCGGCGUGCCUCUCGGGGCGUGCCCGCUGGUAUUAUUAGAAUCUCUAUUUAAACCUGACGAUACUUCUAAGUGUUCUAAGCGAACUAUUAAAACUUUUAAUAACAGAUCUCUUGGCUCCA